CAGCCGCCGCGGUAAUACGUAGGUGGCAAGCGUUGUCCGGAAUUAUUGGGCGUAAAGCGCGCGCAGGUGGUUUAAUAAGUCUGAUGUGAAAGCCCCCGGCUUAACCGGGAAGGGUCAUUGGAAACUGGGAGACUUAGAGUGCAGAAGAGGAGAGUGGAAUUCCAUGUGUAGCGGUGAAAUGCGUAGAUAUAUGGAGGAACACCAGUGGCGAAGGCGACUCUCUGGUCUGUAACUGACGCUGAGGCGCGAAAGCGUGGGGAGCAAACAGGAUUAGAUACCCGCGUAGUCCCUGUCUCUUAUA
This 301-nucleotide ribosomal RNA is filed under the name uncultured bacterium. Its description in RNAcentral is "partial 16S ribosomal RNA". It matches the Rfam family "Bacterial small subunit ribosomal RNA", at positions 509 to 808 of the family's 1533-position model. The record is from RNAcentral.